CUAAAUUAACCGCAUCUACUUUAUUUUCUUCUUUUAUACCGUAAUUUUUCUGAGCUUCUACAUAAUCCAUAUCGUGAACACUUACACCUAUUUCUUCCUCAAAAGGUGUUCCAAGCGGUACCGGAGGCGAAGGCACACGGGUAUAUCUACUACUUGAAGUACCUCUACCGCUAGUAAUUUGCUUUUUACUACCACUACCACUUCCG
This 206-nucleotide long non-coding RNA is filed under the name Capsicum annuum. RNAcentral describes it as "long non-coding RNA (CANN_LNC000292)". The record is from RNAcentral. Lineage: Eukaryota; Viridiplantae; Streptophyta; Magnoliopsida; Solanales; Solanaceae.